This 253-nucleotide ribosomal RNA is filed under the name uncultured bacterium. RNAcentral's name for it is "partial 16S ribosomal RNA". It matches the Rfam family "Bacterial small subunit ribosomal RNA", at positions 524 to 776 of the family's 1533-position model. The record is from RNAcentral.
UACGAAGGGGGUUAGCGUUGUUCGGAAUUACUGGGCGUAAAGCGCACGUAGGCGGCUUUGUAAGUUAGAGGUGAAAGCCCGGGGCUCAACUCCGGAACUGCCUUUAAGACUGCAUCGCUUGAAUCCAGGAGAGGUGAGUGGAAUUCCGAGUGUAGAGGUGAAAUUCGUAGAUAUUCGGAAGAACACCAGUGGCGAAGGCGGCUCACUGGACUGGUAUUGACGCUGAGGUGCGAAAGCGUGGGGAGCAAACAGG